UGCUCCUACGGGACGCAGCAGUGGGGAAUAUUGCACAAUGGGCGAAAGCCUGAUGCAGCAACGCCGCGUGAAGGAAGACGGUUUUCGGAUUGUAAACUUCUAUCAAUAGGGAAGAAAGAAAUGACGGUACCUAAAUAAGAAGCCCCGGCUAACUACGUGCCAGCAGCCGCGGUAAUACGUAGGGGGCAAGCGUUAUCCGGAAUUACUGGGUGUAAAGGGAGAGUAGGCGGCAAGGUAAGCGAUAUGUGAAAGCCUUAGGAUUAACAAAAGGAUUGCAUAACGAACUAUAUAGAUAGAGUACAGGA
This 305-nucleotide ribosomal RNA is filed under the name uncultured bacterium. RNAcentral describes it as "bacterial SSU rRNA". It matches the Rfam family "Bacterial small subunit ribosomal RNA", at positions 334 to 653 of the family's 1533-position model. The record is from RNAcentral.